Molecule: ribosomal RNA, 253 nt
Filed under: uncultured bacterium
Lineage: Bacteria
Description: partial 16S ribosomal RNA
Rfam family: Bacterial small subunit ribosomal RNA
Source: RNAcentral
UACGAAGGGUGCAAGCGUUACUCGGAAUCACUGGGCGUAAAGCGUGCGUAGGCGGUUCGUUAAGUCUGUUGUGAAAGCCCUGGGCUCAACCUGGGAACUGCAGUGGAUACUGGCGAGCUAGAGUACGGUAGAGGAAGGUGGAAUUCCCGGUGUAGCGGUGAAAUGCGUAGAGAUCGGGAGGAACACCAGUGGCGAAGGCGGCUCACUGGCCCGAUACUGACGCUGAGGCACGAAAGCGUGGGGAGCAAACGGG